CAAACGCUGGCGGCAUGCCUAACACAUGCAAGUCGAACGGACAGAACAGGGAAGCUUUUCGGAGUGGAACUGGAAAGUUAGUGGCGGAUGGGUGAGUAACGCGUGGACAACCUACCUUGUAAAGGGGAAUAACCUCGAGAAAUCGAAGCUAAUACCCCAUAAUAACCUUGCUUCGCAUGAAGUAAGGAGGAAAGGCGGCCUUAGCGCUGUCGAUACAAGAUGGGUCCGCGUCUGAUUAGCUAGUUGGUGAGGUAAAGGCUCACCAAGGCGACGAUCAGUAGCCGGCCUGAGAGGGUGAACGGCCACAUUGGGACUGAGACACGGCCCAAACUCCUACGGGAGGCAGCAGUGGGGAAUCUUCCGCAAUGGGCGAAAGCCUGACGGAGCAAUGCCGCGUGAGUGAAGAAGGCCUUCGGGUUGUAAAACUCUGUCCUUAUCGAAGAGAGAGUGUUGUAGUAACUGACAAUACUAGGACGGUAGAUGAGGAGGAAGCCCCGGCUAACUAUGUG
This 509-nucleotide ribosomal RNA is filed under the name uncultured bacterium. Its description in RNAcentral is "partial 16S ribosomal RNA". It matches the Rfam family "Bacterial small subunit ribosomal RNA", at positions 30 to 507 of the family's 1533-position model. The record is from RNAcentral.